RNAcentral lists this ribosomal RNA (253 nucleotides) under uncultured bacterium. RNAcentral's name for it is "partial 16S ribosomal RNA". It matches the Rfam family "Bacterial small subunit ribosomal RNA", at positions 524 to 776 of the family's 1533-position model. The record is from RNAcentral.
GACGGAGGAUGCAAGCGUUAUCCGGAAUGAUUGGGCGUAAAGAGUCCGCAGGUGGCAGUUCAAGUCUGCUGUCAAAGACCGGGGCUUAACUUCGGAAAGGCAGUGGAAACUGAACAGCUAGAGUAUGGUAGGGGCAGAGGGAAUUCCUGGUGUAGCGGUGAAAUGCGUAGAGAUCAGGAAGAACAUCGGUGGCGAAGGCGCUCUGCUGGACCAUAACUGACACUCAGGGACGAAAGCUAGGGGAGCAAACAGG